RNAcentral lists this ribosomal RNA (301 nucleotides) under uncultured bacterium. Its description in RNAcentral is "partial 16S ribosomal RNA". It matches the Rfam family "Bacterial small subunit ribosomal RNA", at positions 509 to 807 of the family's 1533-position model. The record is from RNAcentral.
CAGUCGCCGCGGUAAUACGUAGGGUGCAAGCGUUAAUCGGAAUUACUGGGCGUAAAGCGUGCGCAGGCGGUUGUGUAAGACAGGUGUGAGAUCCCCGGGCUUAACCUGGGAAUUGCAUUUGUGACUGCACGACUAGAGUGUGUCAGAGGGGGGUGGAAUUCCACGUGUAGCAGUGAAAUGCGUAGAUAUGUGGAGGAACACCAAUGGCGAAGGCAGCCCCCUGGGAUAACACUGACGCUCACGCACGAAAGCGUGGGGAGCAAACAGGAUUAGAUACCCCGGUAGUCCCUGUCUCUUAUAC